This 72-nucleotide transfer RNA is filed under the name Camelus dromedarius (Arabian camel). It matches the Rfam family "tRNA". Rfam says of the family: Transfer RNA (tRNA) molecules are approximately 80 nucleotides in length. Their secondary structure includes four short double-helical elements and three loops (D, anti-codon, and T loops). The record is from Rfam by way of RNAcentral. Lineage: Eukaryota; Metazoa; Chordata; Mammalia; Artiodactyla; Camelidae. RNAcentral also lists the same sequence under 1 other name.
GAGGAUAUAGCUCUGUGGUAGAUCACGUGCUUAGCAGGCACGAGGUCCUAGGUUCAAUUCCCAGUACCUCCA